This 253-nucleotide ribosomal RNA is filed under the name uncultured bacterium. RNAcentral describes it as "partial 16S ribosomal RNA". It matches the Rfam family "Bacterial small subunit ribosomal RNA", at positions 524 to 776 of the family's 1533-position model. The record is from RNAcentral.
UACAGAGGUCCCAAGCGUUGUUCGGAUUCACUGGGCGUAAAGGGUGCGUAGGUGGUCGGGUAAGUCUGAUGUGAAAUCUCUGGGCUCAACCCAGAAAUGGCAUUGGAUACUAUUCGGCUAGAGGAGUGGAGGGGGGACUGGAAUACUUGGUGUAGCAGUGAAAUGCGUAGAUAUCAAGUGGAACACCAGUGGCGAAGGCGAGUCCCUGGACACUUCCUGACACUGAGGCACGAAAGCGUGGGGAGCAAACAGG